AUGUGAAGGCACCCUCUCAAUAAAUCCUUAUACCUCUCCCAUGCAUCGUAUAGGGUUUUUCAGUCCAUUUGUACAAAGGACGAUAUAUAAUUCCUCAACUU
Non-coding RNA from Gossypium arboreum, 101 nucleotides. Lineage: Eukaryota; Viridiplantae; Streptophyta; Magnoliopsida; Malvales; Malvaceae. The record is from Rfam.